This 860-nucleotide long non-coding RNA is filed under the name Cyanistes caeruleus (blue tit). RNAcentral describes it as "lncRNA (ENSCCEG00000011359.1)". Lineage: Eukaryota; Metazoa; Chordata; Aves; Passeriformes; Paridae. The record is from RNAcentral.
GGAUCCUUAACUUUUGGAAGGACCUUUGAGAACCUUCCUGUGCUUCAACAAUUUUGAGAAGCUGAUCCUUAAUCUCUCCAAGCACCUUGUUUGCACUUUUUCUGUAGAAAGAGGCUUUUGACAGAAGAUAAUACUGACUUAGGAACUGGUGGUUGUGGUGAUACUUGUGUCAGUUGUUGGUUCUUAGCUGGAUGCAGCUCCAAGGACAAAAUAAUCAGAGGCACCUGCUGGUAAACUGCUCCAUUCAGGACAGAUCAGAGGAAAAAGGAACAUGUGUAUCUUUACUAGUGAUGGUAGAGGCUGGAGUAAUGUUUUCACUAGAAUGUAACUGUCUGUACUGCCUGCAUUGUAAAAACAGAGGGAUCCCACCGGGAAGCAGCAAGCCUGGUGCCCUAGUGCAUGCUGAACCUGGGCUUACUCUUAAAUUUGCCAGUUCUGCUGGAGCCUAGCGUUGAGUUAACCUCUUCCUGGACAGCAGAGAGAGAUGAGCACCUACAUCCCAUCCCAUUGAUGUCAUUUGAAUGUGCCCAGCUCCUUCAACUGUACAAGGAGACCGAUGCCCUCAGUCAAUGCUUAAUGCCUACACAGGGCACUGUAAGCAUGGACUCUCUGUACAACAACUUGCAUGUUUGGGCUCCAGCUCUGGUUUUAUUUGUACUGGGAAAUAUGAACUGGAAGCAGUGGUAUGAUGGGAGGGGUGGAAAACCCCAUCUGAGUAGCUCCUAAGACUCCUGCCCUCCAAGGAUCAGUAAGACAGAAUCACUUAUUGUGUGAUACCCUGAUUAGAAAAUGAAUUCAAAUAUUCAUCUAUAUGAUUUUCAGACCCUUGGACAAAAGCUUAAUAAAAAAAUAUUUCUGGC